GCUAUAACACAUGUUGUUGCCUACAUUCUGAUUUCAUUUGGUUGUCAUGGCAGGGGUCAGAGACAGGCAGUAGUGUGACGGCCUUGAAUUUGUCUGAACCGUCUCAGUGCUUCUCCUUCCAAUAGGGCGGUUCCCCUUUUAAUUCCCUAUUAAAUAGCCAGCAUCAGCUAAGCAAAAGUGGGGUUGUGAUGGUGGUGCAAAUGAGGAUGUGUUCAACCCUCAGUUCCGAAGCUUUUUUACUCUGUUUUGUUCUAUUUCAAAGAGUGCUUUGUAGCCUUGUCUCAAGUUUAACCACCAGGAUCGGAUCCAUUCACAUCUCAGUUGGUCUCCGCUGUUUCUUCAUGGCCUUUCUCAGCUGGAGAUCUGUUGGCUGAUUGGAUUGUCUGACUGACCGACUGACUACAACUUUCUUGCAUAUGGCACAACCUACCUGGCACCCUACAAACAAUAACCUCAAGUCAAAACCGUUACAGUAGAGGGAACGAGAGCACCGCCCAUGUUGAUGUAGGGAGAGGACAAACAGGUCAUCAGAUGGAUACCGUUCCCCUACCCGUGGUGUUGGUUGAGGCUGCAUUGGGAGAAGGAUGCAUCAACAACCUGGAAAGAUGUUAGUGGUGCACUCCCUCAUAACACUUUUUAUUUAGUGAUAAAUGAGUGUAUCGUCUUCAAGCUUGAAAAGGACGCUAUGUAAAUGCAUUUAUUAUUCUAAUAAAUGAAUACAUUCAUUCUUUGUAACAAUUAGAUCUCUCAUUGCUUUAAACUAGUAGCGAGCUCAUCUUAAUCACGUGUUGUUAAUUCUCUCUUUCUUUCCAGAAGCAAUCAGUUACAAUGCACCUGGUCAAGGUCAAGGUUUCUUGCAUGCAUGGAUUUGUUAACAAUAAUUAAUUUUGGAAAAUAAUAUGAAUUCCCAUACUAGGCAUGAAUACAUUUUAUGUUGCAUUUCUUCCACCCAAGCCUUGUACACCUGAGUCAGGAAGAAGAGACAACUAGUAUUUUACAUUUAGCAGAUGCUCUUAUCCAGAGCAAUUUACAGUAUUGAGUGCAUACAUUUUCAUACUGGUCCCACGUGGAAAUCAAACCCACAUCCCUGGCAAUGCAAGAGACAUGCUCUAGCAACUGAGCCACACAGGACAACUAAACUCAGCAAAAAAGAAAUGUCCUCCCACUGUCAACUGCGUUUAUUUUCAGCAACCUUAACAUGUGUAAAUAUUUGUAUGAACAUAACAAGAUUCAACAACUGAGACAUAAACUGAACAAGUUCCACAUUUGCCAGUUCUUGCUGUGAGAUGUUACCCCACUCUUCCACCAAGGCACCUGCAAGUUCCCGGACAUUUCUGGGGGGAAUGGCCCUAGCCCUCACCCUCUGAUCCAACAGGUCCCAGACGUGCUCAAUGGGACUGAGAUCCGGGCUCUUCGCUGGCCAUGGCAGAGACUGCCUGCAAUGACAACAAGCUCAGUCCGAUGAUGCUGUGACACACCGCCCCAGACCAUGACGGAACCUCCACCUCGAAAUCGAUCCCGCUCUGGAGUACAGGCCUCGGUGUAACGCUCAUUCCAUUCGACGAUAAACGUAAAUCCGACCAUCACCCCUGGUGAGACAAAACCGCGACUCGUCAGUGAAGAGCACUUUCUGUCAGUCCUGUCAGGUCCAGCAACGGUGGGUUUGGCAACGUUGUUGCCAGUGAUGUCUGGUGAGGACCUGCCUUACAACAGGCCUACAAGCCCUUAGUCCAGCCUCUCUCAGCCUAUUGCGGACAGUCUGAGCACUGAUGGAGGGAUUGUGCAUUCCUGGUGUAACUCGGGCAGUUGUUGUUGCCAACCUGUACCUGUCCCACAGGUGUGAUGUUCGGAUGUACCGAUCAGGUGUUGUUACAUGUGGUCUGUCACUGUGAGGACGAUCAGCUGUCCAUCCUGUCUCCCUGUAGCGCUGUCUUAGGCGUCUCACAGUGCGGACAUUGCAAUUUGUUGCCCUGGCCACAUCUGCAGUCCUCUUGCCUCCUGGCAGCAUGCCUAAGGCACGUUCACGCAGAUGAGCAGGUGCAUGUUCAUUAAUUGUUUAUGGUUCAUUGAACAAGCAUGGGAAACAGUGUUUAAACCCUUUACAAUGAAGAUCUGUGAAGUUAUUUGGAUUUUUACGAAUUAUCUUUGAAAGACAGGGUCCUGAAAAAGGGACAUUUCUUUUUUUGCUGAGUUUAGUAGAUAACUGGCUCUUGAUGAUCAAGUCCCCAGUCUAGAUUGAAGAUCAUAAUUAGUUGAUUAGUUUGAAUCACUUGUGCUAAUGCUUGGCUGGAGAAAAAUAUUGUAUACUGUGGCUCUCUAAGAACAGCUGGCCACACAUUUAAAGGUAGCUAUAGUAAGCCUAAGCCUCAGUUUACACUAGCUACCUUGUUUGUUUAUAUAGCAUUUAUACAUGACAGAAACAUUGCUUCCUUGCUGAAAAAUAUAUAGAAUGUAUGUUUCAGUGAAAAGCAUAGCAACAUCAAGGUAACAUUGUAACAGCUGAUGCUGUUUUUCCAAAGCCAAAACCGCCCAUUAGCCGCUGAGUCUACCAUUAAAAAUGUUUUCAGUAAUUGUUUUCAGUAUCCUAAUGUUGUUUUUGUUUGGUGUGUUCUGAUUGUUUCAGUGCAUGCAUUCAACAAGCGUUGGACGAAGGACUUCCACAAGGCCGCUAUCUCCAAAAUUCACUCAAAAAGUGAUCUAUUUUUUGGGGGAAAUAAUUAUCUUUUAAAAUUCCAUUGGUUAAAAGCUAUUGCUCAGUCAUCACUUGGCUCAUGUAAAUUCUGUAGUUGCUCCAUCCCACGGUCAACAUCCCCAAUGUGUUCACAUUUCUCUUAUGUAAAUGUUAUUUGGGAAAUAUUCGGUCUUUAUUUUUUUCUUCAUUAGCAUGCUGAUGAUUUCAAGUUGUAUUGAUUUAUUUUGAUCUGUUUAGACAUCGAAUACAUGUUGUUUAGUAUAUUUAUUAAGUUUAGUUCAGUUUUCUCUGUGAGAAGCAAGUUCAUUUAAAGUUAUAUGUUAUUUGGUUUACGUAGACACAACAUGUCAAUGUUAAUACAAAAUUCAAAAGGCACUCGCACAUCUGAGCUAUCUUUGUUGCAGGUGCGUGGUAACACUUGAAUAUGAUGAGAAAAAAACAAGAAACACGCACACUGCUCUUGCUAGUAUCACUGCUCUUUAAUAAGCUUUACAUAUCGGCCUCAAGGCCUUUGUCAGAGCUUUUGUGAGUGUUUAUAAUUUGCACCCUUAUGUAGACAUUACUCCCCCCCCCCACAUCUCAAUGCAUCGAAUGGGGUUGGAGUCGAGGAAAAUUACCAAAAGGUCGUAAUGACGAGAUGCCCAUGCAUGUUGUGUUGUAAAUGUGAACAUGAAUUAAUGCCACUAAUUCAGACUACUCUUACGUUUUUUCUUGCACUGUACCGAAUGAUUUAUGAAAACUUGUGAUUUAUGAUAGGUCGAUGUCCUCAUUGUGGUUUUACAGACGUGCUUAAUGCGUUUUUAUGUACACACUUUAUUAGAAUACUUAUGAAAUGCACAUUGUUAUAUUUGGUAACACUUGCUUAUUUUCCCUGGACUCCAACCCCAUCCGAUGCAUUGAACAGAUGUGGGGGAGCAAUGUUGUUAAUACACAAAGUAACCAAAAACCUGAUAUUUGUAUACAUAAUGCUUGUUUGCCAGAAGUUCACAAGUCGCCGCAAAUUUGCCACAAUAGCUUGCCAGAAAACUAAUUUGCGUGUGAAAAUAUUGUCAAAAAUAUGUCACAACUAUUUGCCAGAAAUAAGCCUGUUUUUUCCCCGUUAAGGGUAGAUGUUAAAACACAACCAUCCUCACUCAGGGUGUAUUGUGCUUCAAUGUAGUUCUAUACUGAAGGCCUUCUUCUGACCUGCAGGUUGUUUACCAGGCACCCAGUGUAACCUGAACUGGGAAGUGUGAUGGCAGAAACACAAGAUACCUCUUGCCACUUUAGUAAACUGGAGUCUUGUUCUAAAGUCAUACUCAGUCCAAGUUGCACUAUAUAUAGAAUUGACUUUGACCUGUAUUACAUAUAUUAUAAACAUUUCAUCAUAUCAUAA
Molecule: long non-coding RNA, 4067 nt
Organism: Oncorhynchus nerka (sockeye salmon)
Lineage: Eukaryota; Metazoa; Chordata; Actinopteri; Salmoniformes; Salmonidae
Exons: 3
Source: RefSeq, a predicted model, not a curated record